CCGACAUGGGGCUGUCUCUUCACUCUCCCUCCCGUCAUUUAAUUUGUCGGGGCUGGGAUGCUCGUGAUCGGUUGCCUGUGUAGUUCUACCCUGUUGUGGGUAGCGAAGUUGCCCCUCGAUUGAUAUUUGCUUGCCUUUCUGACAUUUUUUUUGUCAUUUGGGUAGCCGAAAUGAUGGCGAAAUCCUUGUGUAGGUGCGUGGUCGAAUGGACUUGCUGCUGUCACUUGGAUUUUUGCCGGCUCUCACGGAUGCAGUGCCUAGUGCUAGCUCUGCGUGACUUUGCCACGCAGACUUCGGGAGGUCCCCUGUACGAAUCAUUGCGAUGUGGACGCCGUUUGUCGUGUUGCUUGUUUGGCACGCAAAUCGUAUUGUUCUGUCUGGAGUCGGGAUGACGAAGGGCAAGAAUGAAGUGUCCGGGGCAUGGUUGCGUACAUGCGGAAUGCCUCUCUGAUCGUAUGAGCAGCG
Molecule: unclassified non-coding RNA, 465 nt
Filed under: Carex maritima
Lineage: Eukaryota; Viridiplantae; Streptophyta; Magnoliopsida; Poales; Cyperaceae
Description: partial external transcribed spacer 1
Source: RNAcentral